CUAUGCGCCUUGCCAGCCCGCUCAGGGGUGCCAGCCGCCGCGGUAAUACGUAGGGGGCAAGCGUUAUCCGGAUUUACUGGGUGUAAAGGGGGCGCAGACGGCGAUGCAAGCCAGGAGUGAAAGCCCGGGGCCAACCCGGGACUGCUCUUGGAACUGCGUGGCUGGAGUGCAGGAGGGGCAGGCGGAAUUCCUGGUGUAGCGGUGAAAUGCGUAGAUAUUAGGAGGAACACCAGUGGCGAAGGCGGCCUGCUGGACUGUAACUGACGUUGAGGCUCGAAGGCGUGGGGAGCAAACAGG
RNAcentral lists this ribosomal RNA (297 nucleotides) under uncultured bacterium. RNAcentral describes it as "partial 16S ribosomal RNA". It matches the Rfam family "Bacterial small subunit ribosomal RNA", at positions 475 to 776 of the family's 1533-position model. The record is from RNAcentral.